Molecule: non-coding RNA, 311 nt
Organism: Coturnix japonica (Japanese quail)
Lineage: Eukaryota; Metazoa; Chordata; Aves; Galliformes; Phasianidae
Source: RefSeq, a predicted model, not a curated record
UUUUCAAGUAAGGCCAUGAUUUUAAAUGCCGUCUCUCCACAGAUGGAAAUUACAGAAGCAUUUUGUGCAAGACAGACAGCUCAGAAAACCUGAGGGAGAAGGCUGAUAAACUGUGAGUUGAAAUGGAAUGGAUACCUACCUCAUUUAAAAAGGUUGUUAAUAAUGCCUUAUUCUCUCACUGUGUAUCUCUGAGAAGCUACUUCACCUUCUCUACUACUCAUUUCUAGGCACUUGAAGGCAGCAAUUGGAUCUUUUUGAACCCGUUUCCUUCAAACUGAACAAACACAGUCCCCUUUGAUCAUCCUAGUAAG